Long non-coding RNA from Solanum pennellii, 1310 nucleotides. RefSeq lists it as uncharacterized. The record is from RefSeq and is a predicted model, not a curated record. The transcript is spliced from 3 exons. NCBI's taxonomy places the organism in Eukaryota, Viridiplantae, Streptophyta, Magnoliopsida, Solanales, Solanaceae.
CCUGCAAAUGAUUGGGUCUAUCAUAACAUGGAACUAAACUUGGGCAUUCUAAUUAGUCAUGUGCUUAGUCGCUUAAUAAGCAAUUCAACAAUAGAAGAUUGUCUAAUUGCAUUGUGUCAGUGGUGAACAAGCAUGUUAGAAAGACAGUAGCAACUGGAAGGAUAAGCUACUAAGGUUCUUCUAAAAAAACUAAAUGGAACUUACAGCAUUUCUUGCAUCAGAUGGAUGAGACUCUGGCAGUCCCUGCAAUGAUGUUUCAGGAGCUGAUACCUGCGCACAAUAUCCAAGCUGAAAGUCCACCCCCCAUGCAUGAACAAAGUCAUUCUGUAAUAUCAAACUUGCCAAUUGAAUAAGGAAUUUGGUGUACGACUAGUGUGUUAAGAUCUGAAAGCAUACCUGAAUUAUGUACCAUGCACAGCGCCACGAUGCUCUUGAAAAAACAGGAGCCAUCAUUUCCACCCACCUACAUGUGAAUUCAGAAUUCAAAGAUGGAUAGGAAAGAUGUGAAAUGAAACACAAUCCUUUCUGCCCAAUAAUAUAAUAUUACCCAGUGCAUGGAGGUUCAGUACUGUCUCCGUAGCACCUCCUUCCAGGACCCUUUAUGUUUAUUGUCCUCCUGUUUCAACCAUCAGAGUACAUCCUUUCAAGAAGAUCCAACUUAUUACUGAUAAAACCAGUCACUGAUCAUGAAAGUAAUAAUACCUGUGCACUCUUGACCCUUCUUGUCGCGCUGUGGAGAUUAAUUUUCUGGUUGACAUUUCAUGGAUCUUAGUAUGAAGAUAUAUCUUUUUAUUACCGCCCAGCAUUGAAAUUUUCGACUCCAAGAUCUUCAUCCCAGAGGAAUAUGUAAGCAUACUGUGCAACAAUAUCUGGGUGUAAGAACCUCUUCGCAAACCACCUAAAAUAACAAGAGACAGUUAAUGGUUUUACCAUUAUAGAAUAACACAUGGUGUGGGGGGGGAAAACAAGUAUGGGAUGGAGUUGAGGAUACUGACUCUCAACUCGGAACCCACAAUGUCGUAAAUUUUGGAUAGCAGGUCUGACUGUGGAUUAAAGGUUCAUACCAUUUAGUUUGAUUAAUAGCAGAAAUGUGAAUAGCAGUGCUACUCCAUUCAAGAUCAUUCCAUUCAUUGAGGAGGCCAUCAUAGUGAAAAAGCAUAGUGACAAAAUCAGUAUGUGGAAACUGCAAAUGAGAUAGAUAGUAUUAUAUAUACUAGUUAGUUAGAUGGCUAGGGCUAGGAUGAAAGAUGAUGAAUAUGUAUUGGGUCUCACCUUGUUUACAAUUUCAUUUACACUCUUUUUCUGCUUAA